CUCACGCUUCUUGCUCAGCUCCAGCAGUGCAUUCUCCCUCGUCUCAGGGCUGGACAGCUCAUUGAUCCACUGGUAGAUCUUCUCACGGUCCACCUGAGCCAGUGCUGUAGGCACAGGCGCGGCCGUGGCCAGGCUGUGCAUGGCGCCGCUGCCUCCGGGCCGCGCUCAGGAGCCCGCCGCCAUAGAGACAGCACCGCGCGGAGCGCCGGGAAGGGGUCGGGGCCUCGAUGGGGGGGGCGAGGCGCGCGUGCGCGCAAGGAGCGGCG
This 266-nucleotide long non-coding RNA is filed under the name Gallus gallus (chicken). Lineage: Eukaryota; Metazoa; Chordata; Aves; Galliformes; Phasianidae. The record is from RNAcentral.